RNAcentral lists this ribosomal RNA (274 nucleotides) under uncultured bacterium. RNAcentral describes it as "partial 16S ribosomal RNA". It matches the Rfam family "Bacterial small subunit ribosomal RNA", at positions 523 to 796 of the family's 1533-position model. The record is from RNAcentral.
AUACGGAGGGGGCUAGCGUUGUUCGGAAUUACUGGGCGUAAAGCGCGCGUAGGCGGAUCGUUAAGUCAGGGGUGAAAGCCCGGAGCUCAACUCCGGAACUGCCCUUGAUACUGGCGAUAUCGAGUCCGGGAGAGGUGAGCGGAAUUCCUAGUGUAGAGGUGAAAUUCGUAGAUAUUAGGAGGAACACCAGUGGCGAAGGCGGCUCACUGGCCCGGUACUGACGCUGAGGUGCGAAAGCGUGGGGAGCAAACAGGAUUAGAAACCCCAGUAGUCC